Puccinia sorghi is the source of this 109-nucleotide transfer RNA. It matches the Rfam family "tRNA". Rfam says of the family: Transfer RNA (tRNA) molecules are approximately 80 nucleotides in length. The record is from Rfam. Lineage: Eukaryota; Fungi; Basidiomycota; Pucciniomycetes; Pucciniales; Pucciniaceae.
GGGGUUGUAGUGUAGUGGCUAUCACGCGUCAUUUGCAAUGGUGUUGGUAUAGGACAACACGGACAUUGAGAGCUUGACGAGGUCCCGGGUUCAAUCCCCGGCGACUCCA